This 456-nucleotide ribosomal RNA is filed under the name Escherichia coli. Its description in RNAcentral is "bacterial LSU rRNA". It matches the Rfam family "Bacterial large subunit ribosomal RNA", at positions 24 to 519 of the family's 2925-position model. The record is from RNAcentral. Lineage: Bacteria; Pseudomonadati; Pseudomonadota; Gammaproteobacteria; Enterobacterales; Enterobacteriaceae.
GUGGAUGCCCUGGCAGUCAGAGGCGAUGAAGGACGUGCUAAUCUGCGAUAAGCGUCGGUAAGGUGAUAUGAACCGUUAUAACCGGCGAUUUCCGAAUGGGGAAACCCAGUGUGUUUCGACACACUAUCAUUAACUGAAUCCAUAGGUUAAUGAGGCGAACCGGGGGAACUGAAACAUCUAAGUACCCCGAGGAAAAGAAAUCAACCGAGAUUCCCCCAGUAGCGGCGAGCGAACGGGGAGGAGCCCAGAGCCUGAAUCAGUGUGUGUGUUAGUGGAAGCGUCUGGAAAGGCGUGCGAUACAGGGUGACAGCCCCGUACACAAAAAUGCACAUACUGUGAGCUCGAUGAGUAGGGCGGGACACGUGGUAUCCUGUCUGAAUAUGGGGGGACCAUCCUCCAAGGCUAAAUACUCCUGACUGACCGAUAGUGAACCAGUACCGUGAGGGAAAGGCGAAA